Molecule: ribosomal RNA, 103 nt
Filed under: Mustela putorius furo (domestic ferret)
Lineage: Eukaryota; Metazoa; Chordata; Mammalia; Carnivora; Mustelidae
Source: RNAcentral
GUCUACGGCCAUACCACCCUGAACGCGCCCGAUCUCGUCUGAUCUCGGAAGGAAUCUGUAGUUCCCUGAAGAUAUAUAAACAUAAAGAGAAUGUAUGUAGAGU